GACGAACGCUGGCGGCGUGCCUAAUACAUGCAAGUCGAGCGAAGUUUUUCUGGUGCUUGCACUAGAAAAACUUAGCGGCGAACGGGUGAGUAACACGUAAAGAACCUGCCUCAUAGACUGGGACAACUAUUGGAAACGAUAGCUAAUACCGGAUAACAGUAUUUCUCGCAUGAGAGAUAUUUAAAAGUUGGUUAUGCUAACACUAUGAGAUGGCUUUGCGGUGCAUUAGCUAGUUGGUGGGGUAAAGGCCUACCAAGGCGACGAUGCAUAGCCGACCUGAGAGGGUGAUCGGCCACACUGGGACUGAGACACGGCCCAGACUCCUACGGGAGGCAGCAGUAGGGAAUCUUCCGCAAUGGGCGAAAGCCUGACGGAGCAACGCCGCGUGAGUGAAGAAGGAUUUCGGUUCGUAAAGCUCUGUUGUUAGGGAAGAAUGGAUAUGUAGUAACUAUACAUAU
RNAcentral lists this ribosomal RNA (458 nucleotides) under Gemella morbillorum. Its description in RNAcentral is "bacterial SSU rRNA". It matches the Rfam family "Bacterial small subunit ribosomal RNA", at positions 28 to 473 of the family's 1533-position model. The record is from RNAcentral. Lineage: Bacteria; Bacillati; Bacillota; Bacilli; Caryophanales; Gemellaceae.